AAUAAUUGUUUAAACAUCUAUAAAUAAAAUUGUUAAUUUUAUUCAAAAGUUUAAAAGAGUUA
RNAcentral lists this transfer RNA (62 nucleotides) under Romanomermis nielseni. Its description in RNAcentral is "tRNA-Asn". Lineage: Eukaryota; Metazoa; Nematoda; Enoplea; Mermithida; Mermithidae. The record is from RNAcentral.